GAUGAAGAACGUAGCAAAAUGCGAUAAGUAAUGUGAAUUGCAGAAUUCAGUGAAUCAUCGAAUCUUUGAACGCACAUUGCGCCCGCCAGUAUUCUGGCGGGCAUGCCUGUUCGAGCGUCAUUUCAACCCUCAAGCACAGCUUGGUGUUGGGACUCGCGUUAAUUCGCGUUCCCCAAAUUGAUUGGCGGUCACGUCGAGCUUCCAUAGCGUAGUAGUAAAACCCUCGUUACUGGUAAUCGUCGCGGCCACGCCGUUAAACCCCAACUUCUGAACGUUGACCUCGGAUCAGGUAGGAAUACCCGCUGAACUUAAGCAUAUCAAUAAGCGGAGGA
Molecule: unclassified non-coding RNA, 332 nt
Filed under: soil metagenome
Description: partial contains 5.8S ribosomal RNA, internal transcribed spacer 2, and large subunit ribosomal RNA
Rfam family: 5.8S ribosomal RNA (bases 1-120)
Source: RNAcentral